UGCUCACUGAGUGUAUGACCAGCAGCCUC
This 29-nucleotide non-coding RNA is filed under the name Rattus norvegicus (Norway rat). Lineage: Eukaryota; Metazoa; Chordata; Mammalia; Rodentia; Muridae. The record is from RNAcentral.